RNAcentral lists this ribosomal RNA (460 nucleotides) under uncultured bacterium. Its description in RNAcentral is "partial 16S ribosomal RNA". It matches the Rfam family "Bacterial small subunit ribosomal RNA", at positions 338 to 795 of the family's 1533-position model. The record is from RNAcentral.
CCUACGGGAGGCAGCAGUGAGGAAUAUUGGUCAAUGGUCGCGAGCCUGAACCAGCCAAGUCGCGUGCGGGAUGACGGCCCUAUGGGUUGUAAACUGCUUUUAUGCGGGAGUAAAAUGCGUCACGUGUGAUGUUUUGUAGGUACCGGAUGAAUAAGGACCGGCUAAUUCCGUGCCAGCAGCCGCGGUAAUACGGAAGGUUCGGGCGUUAUCCGGAUUUAUUGGGUUUAAAGGGAGCGUAGGCCGCAUGGUAAGCGUGCCGUGAAAUUCAGGGGCUCAACCCUGUCAGUGCGGCGGGAACUGGUUUGCUUGAGUGCGCGGAACGUAUGCGGAAUGCGUGGUGUAGCGGUGAAAUGCUUAGAUAUCACGAAGAACUCCGAUUGCGAAGGCAGCAUACGGGAGCGCUACUGACGCUGAUGCUCGAAGGCGUGGGUAUCGAACAGGAUUAGAUACCCUAGUAGUC